RNAcentral lists this long non-coding RNA (243 nucleotides) under Physcomitrium patens. RNAcentral describes it as "long non-coding RNA (PPAT_LNC000046)". Lineage: Eukaryota; Viridiplantae; Streptophyta; Bryopsida; Funariales; Funariaceae. The record is from RNAcentral.
UAAGACUUCUAUUAAGUCUUAUACAUUAUCAAAACCUGUCUUAUAAGGUUUUCCACUCUUUUAUCACUUCUAAUAUCUAAAAACACCUCUUUUGACUUUAAAAAGAUCUAUUAAGAACUUACGCACAUGAAAGUUUAAUGUUAGUAUAUCAAUGGGGUAGAUCAGCAAAAAAAUACACCACUAGUGUUCAAAAACAACAUUCUAAAGUGUAUAAAAAUUUCCAAGACCAUGAAUGCACUUAAU